AAUAAAAUGGCUGAAUUAUAAGCGGUAAAUUGUAAAUUUAUUUAUGGGAAAAUCUCUUUUAUUA
This 64-nucleotide transfer RNA is filed under the name Papilio dardanus (African swallowtail butterfly). RNAcentral's name for it is "tRNA-Tyr". The record is from RNAcentral. RNAcentral also lists the same sequence under 2 other names. Lineage: Eukaryota; Metazoa; Arthropoda; Insecta; Lepidoptera; Papilionidae.